AGGAGAGUGGCUGAGUGGUUUAAGGCGGCAGAUUGUAACUCUGUUGAAUGAUAUUCGUCGUAGGUUCGAAACCUACCUCUCCCA
This 84-nucleotide transfer RNA is filed under the name Botryococcus braunii. RNAcentral describes it as "tRNA-Tyr". It matches the Rfam family "tRNA". From Rfam's summary of the family: Transfer RNA (tRNA) molecules are approximately 80 nucleotides in length. Their secondary structure includes four short double-helical elements and three loops (D, anti-codon, and T loops). Lineage: Eukaryota; Viridiplantae; Chlorophyta; Trebouxiophyceae. The record is from RNAcentral. RNAcentral also lists the same sequence under 1 other name.